AGACCGAUAGCGAACAAGUACAGUGAUGGAAAGAUGAAAAGCACUUUGAAAAGAGAGUGAAAAAGUACGUGAAAUUGUUGAAAGGGAAGGGCUUGCAAGCAGACACUUAACUGGGCCAGCAUCGGGGCGGCGGGAAACAAAACCACCGGGGAAUGUACCUUUCGAGGAUUAUAACCCCGGUCUCAAUUUCCUUGUUGCCCCGAGGCCUGCAAUCUAAGGAUGCUGGCGUAAUGGUUGCAAGUCGCCCGUCUUGAAACACGGACCAAG
This 267-nucleotide ribosomal RNA is filed under the name Metschnikowia sp. (in: budding yeasts & allies). RNAcentral's name for it is "Metschnikowia sp. (in: Fungi) partial large subunit ribosomal RNA". It matches the Rfam family "Eukaryotic large subunit ribosomal RNA", at positions 331 to 670 of the family's 3401-position model. The record is from RNAcentral. Lineage: Eukaryota; Fungi; Ascomycota; Pichiomycetes; Serinales; Metschnikowiaceae.